CCAUUAUUCCAUUGUUAUAAUCAGUUUCCGGUCUUGGUAAAGAAAGUGAAGUUUCUGUGAACACGAAGAUUUAAAUACAAAUUGACGAGAAGAAAUAACAGAAGGGAAGGAGAAAGUAAAAUUUCAAAUGAUGAUCUAGGCGGCUUCCGGAACGCACUGUGACUUCUCGAACGAUCGUAAAGGAGGUCUAAGGAGAGAAAGAAAGAGAGAGAGAGAGAAAGAGAGAGAGAGAAAGAGAGAGAGACAUAGACAGACAGAAAGCACGUAUCUAAAAUGGAAACGGGCAGAACGUUCCCGGACGAGCUGGAGACGAAAGUGGAGGAGGUUUAUCGUUUCUCGGUAGAAGAUAAAGAAAGAAAAAAGAGAAGGGAAUCGCGGGGGUCAACCGGAAGACGGCGCCCAUAUCGUCUCGAGGCUUCAUUAAGGAUGCAAUAUGGCGGACUUUUUGUCGGGUAAACGAAGGGAGCGGAAUACGCGUGAGAGAGCGGUCGGCCGCUUUUAAAAAAGUUACGACGAGGUUUAUGGGGGUUUAAUUGUAGCCCGUGACUGUGGUUAGAAAGUAGUAAAACUCCUUUUGCCAGAAGACUCCGGCCUGUUACUAUGCUACUUAACGCUCAGCCGACUCUUACUUGGGACGUAUGGAGAAAGAGAAGAAUGACGACGAACAGGACGACUAGGGCGACGAUGAUGAUGAAGCGAAAGAAAAAGAAGAAAAGGAGAGGUGAACGAAGAAGAAGAACAAGGAGGAGGAGAAGGAGAAGAAGAAAAAUAAAUAACAGCGGCGGCUCACGCACUUCGGUGCUGCUAAUUAUUGCUUUGUCUCGAAAAUUGCACCCUCAUCUUCGUGAAAUAAGGCCGACGUUCGCCAUCAAGGUCAUAGAUAUUGUCUUUACCCUCUUCCUAUUUCCAGUUUUCUUUUUAUCUUUUUCUUUUUCCUCAUCUU
Vespa mandarinia (Asian giant hornet) is the source of this 943-nucleotide long non-coding RNA. RefSeq lists it as uncharacterized. Lineage: Eukaryota; Metazoa; Arthropoda; Insecta; Hymenoptera; Vespidae. The record is from RefSeq and is a predicted model, not a curated record.